RNAcentral lists this ribosomal RNA (506 nucleotides) under Laccodytes sp. NHM-IR393. RNAcentral describes it as "partial 16S ribosomal RNA". The stretch from base 383 to 506 matches the Rfam family "Bacterial large subunit ribosomal RNA", at positions 2473 to 2597 of the family's 2925-position model. Lineage: Eukaryota; Metazoa; Arthropoda; Insecta; Coleoptera; Dytiscidae. The record is from RNAcentral.
GUCUUUUUGAUUUUAAUUUAAAGUCUAAUCUGCCCACUGAUUAUAAUGAAGGGCCGCAGUAUUUUGACUGUGCAAAGGUAGCAUAAUCAUUAGUUUUUUAAUUGAAAGCUGGAAUGAAUGAUUGGACGAAAUAAUAUCUGUCUUUAUUUAAUAAAUUGAAUUUAAUUUUUGAGUUAAAAAGCUUAAAUUUUUAUAAAAGACGAGAAGACCCUAUAGAUCUUUAUGUUAAUUUAAUUUAAAGUAUUGAGGAUUUAUAUUUUUUAUAUUAUAUUUAGCAUUUUAUUGGGGUAAUAUUAAGAUUUAAUUAAUUCUUAAAUUUGAUUUCAUUAAUUAAUGUUUUUUUGAUCUUGUAUUAUGGGAUUUAAGAUUAAGUUACCUUAGGGAUAACAGCGUAAUUUUUUUAGAGAGUUCUUAUCGAUAAAAAAGUUUGCGACCUCGAUGUUGGAUUAAAAUUAAUUUUAGGUGUAGUAGUUUAAAUAUUUGGUCUGUUCGACCAUUAAAAUUUU